CACAGCUGUAGGGACCAGGCAGGCACAGUGGCAGUGACAGAGCCGUGGUGCUGGUGGCCCCAGGGAGCAGUGAGUUGUGGAGAAUGGGGAGGGAGCUCCAGUGCAGCACUCCCAGCGUGGUGGAAGCUCUGCAGCGCGUUCAGAAUGACGUCCUUUACGAGCAUCAAACAGCAGCCUGGGAAUGUGUGACUUGGGCGUGAUACAUCAGCGCUCAGAAGGUGCACCCCCACCGAGAUCACACGCAGGAUGAGGAGCCUUCCCAACCCAAAUCCCAGUGUCAGUCCUAGCCUCAGUCCCAGUCCCAAUCCCAGUUUCAGAGCCACCAGGAUCUACGAAGAUUCCGGUCUCUCUCCAUGCCAUCUUAGCUGUGGCACUUCCAGUGACGAAUUCAUCGCUCAGGCAAUGGCUUUUCUCCUAAAAUCCUCUUCAGGGAACAAUUUUCCAACGUCGGAUACGG
This 457-nucleotide long non-coding RNA is filed under the name Gallus gallus (chicken). RNAcentral describes it as "long non-coding RNA NONGGAT003256". The record is from RNAcentral. Lineage: Eukaryota; Metazoa; Chordata; Aves; Galliformes; Phasianidae.